UUGUGGAGCACACAGAAGCUUGGUUCCAAGUAGAACUUGAGCUGCUUUUUACAAAUAUUUGCUGCUGGAAUGGCUGAAUAUAUUAUUCAACAGGCCACGGAGAACCUGCCUCACAAACAGAGAGGCUCCACAAGAUUGAAAGAUGAAGCCAAUACUACAGAGGGGCCCAAUAUGGGAAGCAUCAUAAAGGGCAGGGAGUAAAACAUCCCUGGAAGAGAGAAACACGAACAGCCUUGGUUUCCACAAGGAGCCACACCUGUGGCAGUCCUGGUACCUGCAGACAGAAGAGAAACUCCCAUUUGCCACAGAGAGCCAGACUAAUCUCAAACAACUCUCGUCCCAGGACACAACUGCAUCCUUGGUCUUUGAGGGAGAGAAGAAAGCCAAUGGAGGAGUAAGAGACUGACUCUUCUGUGUUGAAGUGAGAGGGGAAAAGAUUCCUUUCAAAUCCAAAGCAGAUAUCUAGGAACAGCAUCCAUAUUACUGAAGCCUGUCUCUUUCUGGCCAGAGGAGAAUGAGCAGCCCAGUGCUUUCCCAGCCUCUUAGCAAAAGGAUGAAAGUGCCUUGGUCUAUGGUUCUUGUGAACUGUGAGCAUACUCCUCGGUCCUGGGAAGUGUCUGUGGUGUCCCCUCGGACAUGGUUGGGGGUAUGUGUGGCUCUCUGAAGAAACAGGUUGAGUGAAAUACCCACUUAGAUGAUUUGGAUACAAAUGCAGGGACUCAAUUUCUCAAGUUUCUGUUAGCUAUGACAUUCAUAAGUGGUGUUCUACAGGCAGCUUGCAUUGUGUCGUUAAAUAGGACUGGGCUCCAUGGCGAAAGCUGCCCUCUGCAUGCCCGCACAGUUCUUAAAGCACUGCAGCAGAAGACAUGCGCUUGGCAAAGAAUGCCAAAGACCCAUGACCCUUAGAAUGUGGGACAAUCCUGGAAAUUUGCUUUUCAAGGACAAGGAGCCUUCGGUCUACUUUAGAAGAGGGGGUGCGAUCUGAGCCCAUUAGGACCUAUCCAUCCGUGCAAGCUAUAUGCUGGCAUUUGGGAAUAAAGGAAGUGAAGUAAAUUUACUAACUCCUGGCCUUGAAAGGAGAUGAAUUCAAGAUAGCAUCUAGAAAGUCAACAUUCAGAAAACAGUGGCUUGUACCCAUGACCGCCAUGCUGAAAAGUGUCCCAGCCACCUCCCACUCUGUCACUUACACUUUUACAGCCCUCAAAAAUGCUGUAUUCACAACCUUGCUAACAGAGAUUUCUGUCGGGGUUUCUUUGUCUUAAGGAGGAUCACACUUCUCAGUAAUUUUUCUCAUCUCAUUCUAAGACAGGCAGAAGUUCAGAGAUUUACAUUUCAAAAACAACGCAAAACCCCACAACUGGAUACUUCAGAAUAGGCAAUACACAUUUCCUUUGUUGUGGAGGAAAAAAAUGUUUACUUAAGUUUCAUCUAAGAAAGACUCCCUAGAAAAGGCAACCAAGCUUAUUUCACAGUCCCCGGCCCCCUCCACUCUUAACUGCUGUGUUUCUAAUCAAAGUUCCUGAAGCCACAGGUUUCUUUUUAACCUUUAUUAUGUCUGUAUACAACAAUGUAACAGUUUCAAUUACCUCCAUGUUUUGUACUAACAUAAAAGCCACACAUCAUAAGUCAACCCAGUUAAUGUUACGCAUUAUGGCGAGGCUGAAGCUACAUCAAGAGAAACAGACCCCAACGUCUACACCUCUCAGACAGACAACUGCAGUGAGAAAGUCAUGGAGCCUCUCACUCUCAGGAGCCCAGAGCUGUGAGCCUUGCUAGCCAGAAAUCUGGAAUGGAGUCCCCCCUGUGAGCUUCCCUACAGGUCCCUCCUUGGUGCCUGUCCUGACCCAGUGCAAGUCUCCGAAGACAUUUUCACAGCUGCGCACCUGCUGCAUCAGGAAAAGAGCAAUUCAGUGAUGGCAUCCCGAGGUAAACCAGAAAGAAGCCUCAAAGGGCUGAUAAUUCUGCCAGAGAGCCUGGUCCCAAGAAAGAAAAGAGACGUGGAUUCAAGAGGAAGAGCUGGCUCUCUUAGAAGCACUUCCUUAGACUCCGUAUUUCAUUUCCCAGAAAGUAUGAAUUAAUUUGGAAACUUAAACUGGGCAUCCGCUUUUGGACUUGGGAAUCCAAUGAUGACCUCUUGGGCUGGGCGUGGUGAGGGCUGCUUCCUGGGCACGUCCUGGGAGGCCACCCUGCAUAGACUCUGCUGAUGGAGUUGAGCAGUGGCCUUCUUGAGAAGACCUCUCCAGGCACAGCCUGUGGAUGGCUUUUGUCCCCCAACUCUGGAUGCUUACUGUUUUGGGGUACGGACGUGUCUACUGCUUGACCUGUUAGCUGAACUGCAAGUAUACUUAUCCCACAAAUAGACUCCUUCAUUGUUUCUCAUGUCCUCUUUCAAAUAUUUUUUGCCCUUUGCUUUGCUAUGGACUUUAUAUUUUGAAUCCCAAGCCAAUUCUUUGGGAGCAAGCAGUUCAAUAGGUCUGCAGACGGUGGAUAUACAUAGGAAAAGUCCACUGUUUUGUCUGGUCACGAAAGAGCUUGUUUUCUGGCCAUAUCCCUUGGGCCUGUAAAGAAACUCUUGGAUAGAAGAGCUUAUCUGCAUCACUUUCUGACUGAAGAAUCUCUGAGAAGGCAAUUCUUAUCAAUUCUGAAGAAAAGAAUAGAAGAAGCUUAUAUAUGGGAUAUUCCUUGAACUUUGAUUUUGGCUUCUAUUCUAAAACAGCUAUAAGAAAUUUAUUCAGUUUUUCUCUCAUUCAUUUCUCUUUAAAAACAUGCUCACAGGGUGCCUGGGGGGCUCAGUUGGUUA
Molecule: long non-coding RNA, 2800 nt
Organism: Suricata suricatta (meerkat)
Lineage: Eukaryota; Metazoa; Chordata; Mammalia; Carnivora; Herpestidae
Exons: 3
Source: RefSeq, a predicted model, not a curated record